RNAcentral lists this ribosomal RNA (768 nucleotides) under Bacillus sp. CD(2010). RNAcentral describes it as "bacterial SSU rRNA". It matches the Rfam family "Bacterial small subunit ribosomal RNA", at positions 33 to 780 of the family's 1533-position model. Lineage: Bacteria; Bacillati; Bacillota; Bacilli; Caryophanales; Bacillaceae. The record is from RNAcentral.
ACGCUGCCGGCGUGCCUAAUACAUGCAAGUCGAGCGAAUGGAUUAAGAGCUUGCUCUUAUGAAGUUAGCGGCGGACGGGUGAGUAACACGUGGGUAACCUGCCCAUAAGACUGGGAUAACUCCGGGAAACCGGGGCUAAUACCGGAUAACAUUUUGAACCUGCAUGGUUCGAAAUUGAAAGGCGGCUUCGGCUGUCACUUAUGGAUGGACCCGCGUCGCAUUAGCUAGUUGGUGAGGUAACGGCUCACCAAGGCAACGAUGCGUAGCCGACCUGAGAGGGUGAUCGGCCACACUGGGACUGAGACACGGCCCAGACUCCUACGGGAGGCAGCAGUAGGGAAUCUUCCGCAAUGGACGAAAGUCUGACGGAGCAACGCCGCGUGAGUGAUGAAGGCUUUCGGGUCGUAAAACUCUGUUGUUAGGGAAGAACAAGUGCUAGUUGAAUAAGCUGGCACCUUGACGGUACCUAACCAGAAAGCCACGGCUAACUACGUGCCAGCAGCCGCGGUAAUACGUAGGUGGCAAGCGUUAUCCGGAAUUAUUGGGCGUAAAGCGCGCGCAGGUGGUUUCUUAAGUCUGAUGUGAAAGCCCACGGCUCAACCGUGGAGGGUCAUUGGAAACUGGGAGACUUGAGUGCAGAAGAGGAAAGUGGAAUUCCAUGUGUAGCGGUGAAAUGCGUAGAGAUAUGGAGGAACACCAGUGGCGAAGGCGACUUUCUGGUCUGUAACUGACACUGAGGCGCGAAAGCGUGGGGAGCAAACAGGAUUA